UUGGUCAAUUUCAUUAACUUUUUUAAUACACGAACUAUUGAUAAAACAUGAAUAUUUUUUAAUUUUCCGGACAUCUUCCAUUGGGAUGUCCGCAGCGGAUGCCUUUGUCUGCCUGCCGGUUGACAGCAAUGGUGGCAUUUCAGUCUUCUAGUCGCUGCACCAUGGCCAUGACAGUCGUUGUGCAGCGAGGAGGAUGGAUGCGGCUAUGGCCGGGGCUGGAGUUUACAUAGUCGGCAGAUGGCAGGGCAACUGACGAGGUGGUUAAUGGUGGGCAAUAGACAAACAAACAUGUGGCGUCGGAGUAGGUUCUUGGGCAACCACACAUGCUUAAUGUAGGGAGGCGGAAUGAUGACAUGUCAUUUGAACAUGGAGUUGUCGCGUGCACCGGAAAACAGCGCGAGCGGCGCUCUCGGGAGGCGCCACUUUCAAUGCGAGAGUGCCAGUGAGAGGUCGUGUCGCUCUGAGCCAGCAUAAAUGCAUCGUUGUGCUCUGGAGCGGCGCUGACCACUUCGGACGUGAAGGAUGUGGGAAAGGGGGGCUGGGGUUUGGGUGGGCCAUGGCAGAUAGAAUCGAGGGUGGCAGAUGUCCGGACGCCCGCAAAGCACCUAGCUAGUUUUUGGAUUGCGGGAGAAAUUAAGUUUGGACCAGUCGGCGGGCCGACACAGACCGUCAUUUGAUGACAAAACAUGUCCGGAUCAUGAGGUCUGGAUGAUUGCGGGCUUUUUGUGAGUCGGCGUUGGAGAUGCCCUUACAUACUCUUGAAGAGUUUAAUAAUCCAUUUAAAGUAUUUUAUCAAAUUAUCAAAAAAAUUGAAUUCUAAUAAUUUUUUUGCGAAAUGGAUUCUAAUGAUUUUGAUUAUGUAAUUUUUUUAAUGGAAGGACUGUUUUAUUUGAAAUAUUAUAUUUCAUUCCCAAUAUCUUUUACACUAUUAAGUGUUGACCCUAACGCAAGCAAUAUUAAUAACCGGCUGACAAAAAACAAUGUUGGGGCCUAGCCCACCGGCACGUAACACCCAUCAGGCCAUCACGUGUACCUCCACCGCUAGCUAGCUUAUGCUUAUCCAUUCAUCUCCACGAAGAUGCAUCUGCAUCCAUCUCCCAUCUCUCGCUCCAUCGUUCUCACAUCCAAAAAAGCACCGACAGAGCUAUCCUUCGUGGCCCUUAUCCACAAGGCUGCUCCUCAUCCGUCAUCACCCCAGCUCCCAGCAGCGCUGCUCUCUCGUCUUCUCCGCCCCGCCCCCAGUUCCUUCCAACGCCUACGCGUUGGUGCUCCAGCCAAAGACAGCCACCCCAGCCGCCGUCUGCUCCGACCUGGGCCAGGAGAGGACGCCGAGGCUGGCAAGGGACGGGGGUCGGGCCGGUGUGCAAGGUAGCUAGGAGGCAAAUACUUGGUCGCGCCGAGAACGAGCCUCGUGGCUCCCCCCGCCCCUCUCUAUAAAUCGCGGGUCCCCUCUCUACAAAUCGCGGGUCCGUGGAGCGAACAGCCUUUCUUCCUCUGCUCUGACGAGCUGCCUUGCUUGGAUCCGUCGAGCGAGGCGCCGGUGGCGGCGGUGUCCGACGUGCUCCUGGCCGGUGCCCCUUUCGUCCUCUGCUCUGAGGCCGGGUCCGGGCUUGCCUCUGUUCUUUUGCCAUCACAGUCGACCGCUGCCUCUGCUCCAACCAUGACAUGACCUGAGUUCCUUCUAUUCUUUUUCUUCGUUUAUUUCCUUUGAUUCUUGAGAAACACUCGCUGGAACAUCUCACGCAGACGGGCUAAGGCCCAAGUGGCAACGCAUCAGCCACGAACGAUCGCAAGGCAAGGCCCGAGCAAGAGCGCAGAUGGAAAAUAUAUAGAUUAGUGCACGUACGGACGCAUAUAGAUAGUACCACCUUGGAUAUUAAGAAAAAUAUCAAAUCAAGAAAAAACGGACAGGAAGAAGCGUAUUAUGACACGGGAAGAAAGCGCAUUGUGACGGUGAACCCGGAGACUCAAUCGAUGCUUUAUUAUUAGGAAGAGAUUAUUAUUAUUAUUAGCAAAAAAGCCCGUGCGUUGCAACGGGAGAAAAAAAAUCACAUCCUAAAAUAAAUAUGACUCAAGUGCCCCAUCCACACGAGUCCAUCCAUGUUGGCAUAUGUCACUGCUUAUA
This is a long non-coding RNA of Triticum urartu, 2125 nucleotides long. RefSeq lists it as uncharacterized. NCBI's taxonomy places the organism in Eukaryota, Viridiplantae, Streptophyta, Magnoliopsida, Poales, Poaceae. The record is from RefSeq and is a predicted model, not a curated record.